CGCCCUCCCGUCCGGCCGCCACUCAGACUCGACGGGGCAGGCAGUGGGGAAUAGUUGCGCAAUGGACGAAAGUCUGACGCAGCGACGCCGCGUGUGGGAUGGAAGCCUUUACGGGGGUGUUAAACCGACUAGUUGCCCGGGUACGAAACCGUCUACCUUUCGAGGUAGAUUGACGGUACCGGGUGAGGGAAGCACCGGCUAACUCUGUGCCAGCAGCCGCGGUAAUAC
This 228-nucleotide ribosomal RNA is filed under the name uncultured bacterium. RNAcentral's name for it is "partial 16S ribosomal RNA". It matches the Rfam family "Bacterial small subunit ribosomal RNA", at positions 301 to 526 of the family's 1533-position model. The record is from RNAcentral.